Molecule: non-coding RNA, 30 nt
Filed under: Homo sapiens (human)
Lineage: Eukaryota; Metazoa; Chordata; Mammalia; Primates; Hominidae
Source: RNAcentral
UGCAUCAGGUACAAAAAGAAAGAUGUCAGC